AUUGAACGCUGGCGGCAGGCCUAAAACAUGCAAGUCGAACGAGUGGCGGACGGGUGAGUAAUGUCUGGGAAACUGCCCGAUGGAGGGGGAUAACUACUGGCAACGGUAGCUAAUACCGCAUACAAUCGGAUGUGCCCAGAUGGGAUUAGCUAGUAGUGGGGGUAACGGCUCACCUAGGCGACGCUCCCUAGCUGGUCUGAGAGGAUGACCAGCCACACUGGAACUGAGACACGGGCCAGACUCCUACGGGAGGCAGCAGUGGGGAAUAUUGCACGAUGGGCGCAAUCCUGAUGCAGCCAUUCCGCGUGUAUGAAGAAGUCCUUCGGGUUGUAAAGUACUUUCAGCGAGGAGGCGUUACUCGCAGAAGAAGCACCGGCUAACUACGCGCCAGCAGCCGCGGUAAUAC
Molecule: ribosomal RNA, 406 nt
Filed under: uncultured bacterium
Lineage: Bacteria
Description: partial 16S ribosomal RNA
Rfam family: Bacterial small subunit ribosomal RNA
Source: RNAcentral